UACAGAGGGUGCGAGCGUUAAUCGGAAUUACUGGGCGUAAAGCGUGCGCAGGCGGUGAUGUAAGACAGAUGUGAAAUCCCCGGGCUCAACCUGGGAACUGCAUUUGUGACUGCAUCGCUGGAGUACGGCAGAGGGGGAUGGAAUUCCGCGUGUAGCAGUGAAAUGCGUAGAUAUGCGGAGGAACACCGAUGGCGAAGGCAAUCCCCUGGGCCUGUACUGACGCUCAUGCACGAAAGCGUGGGGAGCAAACAGG
Molecule: ribosomal RNA, 253 nt
Filed under: uncultured bacterium
Lineage: Bacteria
Description: partial 16S ribosomal RNA
Rfam family: Bacterial small subunit ribosomal RNA
Source: RNAcentral